This 684-nucleotide long non-coding RNA is filed under the name Capsella grandiflora. Its description in RNAcentral is "long non-coding RNA (CGRA_LNC001308)". Lineage: Eukaryota; Viridiplantae; Streptophyta; Magnoliopsida; Brassicales; Brassicaceae. The record is from RNAcentral.
UUGGCUGUUAUCUACUGGACUAACGGAUGGACUAACUGGAACACUAAACUAACUGAUGGACAUCUUUGUUCUAUAGAUCAGAUAGACAAUCUGUAAAAUAAAUGUUAGAGGACGAGAUACAAUAGACAAAAGGACAUAGAGAAUUUGAGGAAGGGAAGAAGGGUUGAAGAAGGAGAACAACCAUAAUUUUUGUUAAGCCCACAUGAUAAACAAGAUUUUUAAUUCUUUCAUAAGGUUGUCAAUUACUGGUGUCAUUUGCGAUGUUAUUUACAAAGAUCAUAAAUAACAAAAUUUGUCCAUCAAUAAAUAGAAGAUGGAAAGGAUGAAUCGUAGAGCAUCUCACAGUUUACCUGAGCUGAGGAGAGUUGUCUACUGGACUAACUAAUGGACAGCUUUGUUCAGUAGUUCUGAUGGAAAAUAUGUAAUAUAAAGUUAGGGGACGACUUACGAUGGACAACAAACUCAUGGACACAAUUUUGAAUAGAUCUGGUCCAUAAAAACUUUCAUUGACGGGUUCCAAUGGACAACAUCACCUACGUAAUUUGAGCCAAAAUCGGCCAGGAUAGUGAAGUUCUGGCGUGUGGCGAUUCGAGACUGUUGCCUCCGUGUUCACCGCCGUCGACUGGAAACACAGGAUAUGGUCUGGCAUCCAUUGUAUCUGAAGUAGAAGGAGGUGGGGUAAAA